UUUUUUUAUUUUAGUGGCCAAUAUCGGACCAGUGCACCCCUUGUCAGGUCCGCAGUGCGCCCCAGGCAACCCGGCCAGCUACGUCGCGCCCCACCCCCCGCGCGCAAACGAGGACGCGCGGCUGUGCGUAAACAAGUGCGGAGGCGCUAGACACCCGCUUAAUCUUCUUCAGCGGCGGACAUGGGGUAGUCUGCUUAUGAGAAUCAGAAGUUCCUUGGUAGCAGAGGAAGUCAUGGUCAAGGAGAAGCUGGCAAUGGUACAUGUAGGAGAGGUGAAUUCGGGAAGCCACUGGAAGUUCUUGAAUUAUUUGCCUCCUUUCCGGCCUCUUAUUC
Long non-coding RNA from Xenopus laevis (African clawed frog), 332 nucleotides. RefSeq lists it as uncharacterized. The transcript is spliced from 3 exons. The record is from RefSeq and is a predicted model, not a curated record. NCBI's taxonomy places the organism in Eukaryota, Metazoa, Chordata, Amphibia, Anura, Pipidae.